This 517-nucleotide ribosomal RNA is filed under the name bacterium Ellin6559. RNAcentral describes it as "bacterial SSU rRNA". It matches the Rfam family "Bacterial small subunit ribosomal RNA", at positions 258 to 767 of the family's 1533-position model. The record is from RNAcentral.
UAAAGGCUCACCAAGCCUUCGAUCUGUAGCUGGUCUGAGAGGACGACCAGCCACACUGGGACUGAGACACGGCCCAGACUCCUACGGGAGGCAGCAGUGGGGAAUUUUGGACAAUGGGCGCAAGCCUGAUCCAGCCAUGCCGCGUGCAGGAUGAAGGCCUUCGGGUUGUAAACUGCUUUUGUACGGAACGAAACGGCUCUUUCUAAUAAAGAGGGCUAAUGACGGUACCGUAAGAAUAAGCACCGGCUAACUACGUGCCAGCAGCCGCGGUAAUACGUAGGGUGCAAGCGUUAAUCGGAAUUACUGGGCGUAAAGCGUGCGCAGGCGGUGAUGUAAGACAGUUGUGAAAUCCCCGGGCUCAACCUGGGAACUGCAUCUGUGACUGCAUCGCUGGAGUGCGGCAGAGGGGGAUGGAAUUCCGCGUGUAGCAGUGAAAUGCGUAGAUAUGCGGAGGAACACCGAUGGCGAAGGCAAUCCCCUGGGCCUGCACUGACGCUCAUGCACGAAAGCGUGGGGA